Long non-coding RNA from Homo sapiens (human), 718 nucleotides. RefSeq lists it as uncharacterized. NCBI's taxonomy places the organism in Eukaryota, Metazoa, Chordata, Mammalia, Primates, Hominidae. The record is from RefSeq and is a predicted model, not a curated record. The transcript is spliced from 2 exons.
GGAAAGGAACCUAAGAUUUUGGAACUCUGAGACUAUGCUGAAUCUGCUAAAAUUUUGAGAUGCUCUCUGUUCUGGAGGUGACACGGGGUGACAGUGGUGCUCCAUAUUCCUGAAGACACCUGGAAAUAUUGUGGGACGUGCCCUGAGUUGACAUCAGGCAGGUCCUACCUUCCUGAUUGGCCCCUGUUGGUGCUUGAAGAGCCCACUGAAACAACAGACUGAGCAAAGACUUUUAAACGCUGCACGUGGAAUCUACCUCAAAGAAUAUCUAGUUCAAACUGGUCAUUUUGCAGAUGAGAAAACUGAGGUCCAGGACCAUGAAGAGUUAACAGAGGAUUAACACUAAGGCUCUGUCCCCUGAUUUCCAUCCCAGUGGUCUCUUUCCAGCACACAGGCUGUGCCACAGAUUUUAUAGGCAUCUGGAAUUUUGCUGGCAGGGUUACUUCUAAGAAAUCUUUCGGUGGAAUCUCUUUAAGUGGCCCCUGGAAUGUAAGCACUAUGGGCAGUCUGUAGUGACCCAGAGCUCCAAAACAGAGUUUCUAAACAGGCAUGGCAGCAAAUCCCAGCAACAUCAGGCAGAUGCUUUAGACAUUUAAGGAUCUGCAGAUACUGCAGAAUCCCUCAGUUGUGUGGUCAGCACAUUACAACUCACAUAACUGUAAAAUUUUGCUGCAAUAAAAAUUAUUUUUAUAAUAAAAAACAUACUGUUAUAAAAGUA